RNAcentral lists this long non-coding RNA (1040 nucleotides) under Eptatretus burgeri (inshore hagfish). RNAcentral's name for it is "lncRNA (ENSEBUG00000017294.1)". The record is from RNAcentral. Lineage: Eukaryota; Metazoa; Chordata; Myxini; Myxiniformes; Myxinidae.
CCCCCCCCCCCCCCCCCCCCCCCCCCCCCCCCCCCCCCCCCCCCCCCCCGAGUGAAAACAAAAUUAACUUGUUUCACAAAACAACGUGCAUUUGGAACAUGUGUCGAGUCCAAGUGUUCCAUUUCUCUACCUUUCGCAUCAUGUUUUCACAAUUCGAGGUUUCCGGUGACAUUUUUCCCAUUGAACAAGCCUUUUUUGGUGCUCCGGCGACCCAGGUUCCUUCUGGUCUUGCUUGUCCUGUUCGUGGUGUUGGUGAUCUUUCCGUGCAGGUGGUUGAUCGUGGCGCACAGUCAAAGAACACCUCGGGUGCACGACCGAAAUCUCCGAGGAGCCGGACCGCUGACAUUUCUUCCUCCAAGCAACCGGGUCGUGUGGUCCAGUGCCCCCCACAGUUGAUGGGCCCCCUACGUGGUCAUCUCCAAGACGUCAUCUGGAAUCCCCCAAACAUCAUCCCUUCAUCAGGAAACAUUUUUCAACGAUUUGUUCCUCGUGGGCAGAGGAGUCAGGUGGGUGAGCAAAGGAAUCGUUCUCAAUCAGGAGUGGAAGAUCCAUCUGGAAGCCGUGGGCCACAACAAUGGGCUCUCCGAAACUCCCCACACUCAUCAAUGAACAUCAGUGGUGGUUUCACGAGUUGCACUUUACAACCCAAACCUGCUCCAAACCUGGGGGGGGGGGGGGGGGGGGGGGGGGGGGGGGGGGGGGGGGGGGGGGGGGGGGGGGGGGGGGGGGGGGGGGGGGGGGGGGGGGGGGGGGGGGGGGGGGGGGGGGGGGGGGGGGGGGGGGGGGGGGGGGGGGGGGGACCACGGACGACCCUCGCUGUCGGAGUUUGGGAACCACACCAGCAUUACCACGUUGGAGAGAGGAUGACAUCUCACGAUCUUUGUGUGGACUGCUGCCGCCCUUCCUCAGAAACUACAAAACGGUCUCUUCGUCCACAGUAGACUCCACCGGCUCGAGAUUAGAGUUCAUUAUUGGGUUUAUAUAGAAUUGAUCUCGCAAUUAUUUCAGUUUGUCUUUGUUAUCAUUUCGCUGGAUCUUGC